GUGUCAGCCGCCGCGGUAAUACAGAGGGUGCGAGCGUUGUCCGGAAUCACUGGGCGUAAAGGGCGCGUAGGCGGCUUGAUAAGUAGGGGGUGAAAUCUCAUGGCUCAACUGUGAGGCUGCCUUCUAGACUGUCUGGCUUGAGCACAGUAGAGGCGAGUGGAAUUCCCGGUGUAGCGGUGGAAUGCGUAGAGAUCGGGAAGAACAUCGGUGGCGAAGGCGGCUCGCUGGGCUGUUGCUGACGCUGAUGCGCGAAAGCGUGGGGAGCAAACAGGAUUAGAUACCCUGGUAGUCC
RNAcentral lists this ribosomal RNA (292 nucleotides) under uncultured bacterium. Its description in RNAcentral is "partial 16S ribosomal RNA". It matches the Rfam family "Bacterial small subunit ribosomal RNA", at positions 505 to 796 of the family's 1533-position model. The record is from RNAcentral.